UCCUACGGGAGGCAGCAGUGGGGAAUUUUCUGCAUUGGGCGAAAGCCUGACGGAGCAACGCCGCGUGAGGGAUGAAGGCCUCUGGGCUGUAAACCUCUUUUCUCAAGGAAGAAGAUCUGACGGUACUUGAGGAAUAAGCCACGGCUAAUUCCGUGCCAGCAGCCGCGGUAAUACGGGAGUGGCAAGCGUUAUCCGGAAUUAUUGGGCGUAAAGCGUCCGUAGGCGGCUUUUCAAGUCUGCUGUUAAAAAGUGGAGCUUAACUCCAUCAAGGCAGUGGAAACUGAUUGGCUUGAGUGUGGUAGGGGCAGAGGGAAUUCCCGGUGUAGCGGUGAAAUGCGUAGAUAUCGGGAAGAACACCAGUGGCGAAGGCGCUCUGCUGGGCCAUAACUGACGCUCAUGGACGAAAGCCAGGGGAGCGAAAGGGAUUAGAUACCCCUGUAGUCCUGGCCGUAAACGAUGAACACUAGGUGUCGGGGGAAUCGACCCCCUCGGUGUCGUAGCCAACGCGUUAAGUGUUCCGCCUGGGGAGUACGCACGCAAGUGUGAAACUCAAAUGAAUUGACGG
This 565-nucleotide ribosomal RNA is filed under the name uncultured bacterium. RNAcentral's name for it is "bacterial SSU rRNA". It matches the Rfam family "Bacterial small subunit ribosomal RNA", at positions 337 to 916 of the family's 1533-position model. The record is from RNAcentral.